RNAcentral lists this ribosomal RNA (194 nucleotides) under uncultured bacterium. Its description in RNAcentral is "partial 16S ribosomal RNA". It matches the Rfam family "Bacterial small subunit ribosomal RNA", at positions 326 to 539 of the family's 1533-position model. The record is from RNAcentral.
ACGCUCGACACCUACGGCAGCAGUGGGGAAUAUUGCACAAUGGGGGAAACCCUGAUGCAGCGACGCCGCGUGGAGGAAGAAGGUCUUCGGAUUGUAAACUCCUGUUGUUGGGGAAAAAGAGGAUGGUACCCAACAAGGAAGUGACGGCUAACUACGUGCCAGCAGCCGCGGUAAUCUGAGCGGGCUGGCAAGGC